This 306-nucleotide ribosomal RNA is filed under the name Triticum aestivum (bread wheat). Its description in RNAcentral is "partial small subunit ribosomal RNA". Lineage: Eukaryota; Viridiplantae; Streptophyta; Magnoliopsida; Poales; Poaceae. The record is from RNAcentral.
UGUGUUGGGGCCAGCAACAGACCUGGAUGUUUCACACAAUAUUUUGGGUGGAUACGUGAGUUUGUUCCUGGUAGUGAAAAUGUGCAAAUAGUGGGGCUUUCAGAUAUAUGUUGGUCCUUGUGAAAACUUUGCAAUAGAGCUUGGUUUGAUAAGAAACUUGUGAGAUCUUCAAGUGAAUUUGUGUGUUAUGCUUGCUCCUUUAUGUGAUAUUGGGUAGGUAUGUAGAGCGAUGGAGAUCAGGCUAUAUUGGAACACGAGGUUGCAGCUCUUUAGAGGGAUGCCCUGGCUCAUCAUAAGGUGGUUUAG